CGGUGCCAGCAGCCGCGGUAAUUCCAGCUCCAAUAGCGUAUAUUAAAGUUGUUGCAGUUAAAAGCUCGUAGUUGAAUUUCGGGGUCAGUAGGUUGGUCGUGCCACCGGUACGUACUGGUCUCACUGAUUCCUCCUUCCUGAUGAGCUGUAAUGCCAUUAAUUUGGUGUUGCAGGGAAUCUGGACUGUUACUUUGAAAAAAUUAGAGUGUUUAAAGCAGGCUAACGCUUGAAUACAUUAGCAUGGAAUAAUGAAAUAGGACGUUCGAUCCUAUUUUGUUGGUUUCUAGGAUUGACGUAAUGAUUAAUAGGGAUAGUUGGGGGCAUUAGUAUUCAAUUGUCAGAGGUGAAAUUCUUGGAUUUAUUGAAGACUAACUACUGCGAAAGCAUUUGCCAAGGAUGUUUUCAUUAAUCAAGAACGAAAGUUAGGGGAUCGAAGACGAUCAGAUACCGUCGUAGUCUUAACCAUAAACUAUGCCGACUAGGGAUCGGAUGAUGUUAAUUUUUUAAUGACUCAUUCGGCGCCUUACG
This 528-nucleotide ribosomal RNA is filed under the name uncultured Glomus. RNAcentral describes it as "SSU rRNA". It matches the Rfam family "Eukaryotic small subunit ribosomal RNA", at positions 562 to 1092 of the family's 1831-position model. Lineage: Eukaryota; Fungi; Glomeromycota; Glomeromycetes; Glomerales; Glomeraceae. The record is from RNAcentral.